GCACCACAACAGGUGGAGCCUGCGGUUUAAUCGGACUCAACGCCGGGAAACUCACCAGAUAAGACAGCUGAAUGAUAGUCGGGCUGAAGACUCUACUUGACUAGCUGAGAGGAGGUGCAUGGCCGUCGUCAGUUCGUACUGUGAAGCAUCCUGUUAAGUCAGGCAGCGAGCGAGACCCACGCCAACAGUUGCCAGCUCGUCCUCCGGGAUGGUGGGGACACUGUUGGGACCGCCUCUGCUAAAGAGGAGGAAGGAAUGGGCAACGGUAGGUCAGCAUGCCCCGAAUUAUCUGGGCUACACGCGGGCUACAAUGGGUGGGACAAUGGGUAUCGACACCGAAAGGUGAAGGCAAUCUCCUAAACCCAUCCGUAGUUCGGAUUGUGGGCUGCAACUCGCCCACAUGAAGCUGGAAUCUGUAGUAAUCGUGUCUCAAAAUGGCACGGUGAAUAUGUCCCUGCUCCUU
This 463-nucleotide ribosomal RNA is filed under the name uncultured Methanomicrobiales archaeon. RNAcentral describes it as "bacterial SSU rRNA". It matches the Rfam family "Archaeal small subunit ribosomal RNA", at positions 876 to 1338 of the family's 1478-position model. The record is from RNAcentral. Lineage: Archaea; Methanobacteriati; Methanobacteriota; Methanomicrobia; Methanomicrobiales.